UAUUUACCAAUUUUUGAAGACACAAUGUAUU
Molecule: non-coding RNA, 31 nt
Filed under: Rattus norvegicus (Norway rat)
Lineage: Eukaryota; Metazoa; Chordata; Mammalia; Rodentia; Muridae
Source: RNAcentral